This 497-nucleotide ribosomal RNA is filed under the name uncultured bacterium. Its description in RNAcentral is "partial 16S ribosomal RNA". It matches the Rfam family "Bacterial small subunit ribosomal RNA", at positions 28 to 507 of the family's 1533-position model. The record is from RNAcentral.
GAUGAACGCUGGCGGCGUGCCUAAUACAUGCAAGUCGAGCGAACAGACGAGGAGCUUGCUCCUCUGACGUUAGCGGCUGACGGGUGAGUAACACGUGGAUAACCUACCUAUAAGACUGGGAUAACUUCGGGAAACCGGAGCUAAUACCGGAUAAUAUAUUGAACCGCAUGGUUCAAUAGUGAAAGACGGUUUUGCUGUCACUUAUAUAUGGAUCCGCGCCGCAUUAGCUAGUUGGUAAGGUAACGGCUUACCAAGGCAACGAUGCGUAGCCGACCUGAGAGGGUGAUCGGCCACACUGGAACUGAGACACGGUCCAGACUCCUACGGGAGGCAGCAGUAGGGAAUCUUCCGCAAUGGGCGAAAGCCUGACGGAGCAACGCCGCGUGAGUGAUGAAGGUCUUCGGAUCGUAAAACUCUGUUAUUAGGGAAGAACAAAUGUGUAAGUAACUAUGCACGUCUUGACGGUACCUAAUCAGAAAGCCACGGCUAACUACGUG